GGAGGGUGCGAGCGUUAAUCGGAAUUACUGGGCGUAAAGCGCGCGUAGGCGGCCUGGUCAGUCGGAUGUGAAAGCCCCGGGCUUAACCUGGGAAUUGCAUUCGAUACUGCCUGGCUAGAGUAUGGUAGAGGGAAGUGGAAUUUCCGGUGUAGCGGUGAAAUGCGUAGAUAUCGGAAGGAACACCAGUGGCGAAGGCGGCUUCCUGGACCAAUACUGACGCUCAGGUGCGAAAGCGUGGGGAGCGAACAGGGAUUAGAUACCCUGGUAGUCCACGCCGUAAACGAUGAGAACUAGAUGUUGGAGGAUUUGCCUUUCAGUGUCGCAGCUAACGCGUUAAGUUCUCCGCCUGGGGAGUACGGCCGCAAGGUUG
This 370-nucleotide ribosomal RNA is filed under the name uncultured organism. RNAcentral's name for it is "partial 16S ribosomal RNA". It matches the Rfam family "Bacterial small subunit ribosomal RNA", at positions 527 to 896 of the family's 1533-position model. The record is from RNAcentral.